GUCCUCCUCCCAGGCACGUGUGCCGCACGCUCCCUGCCAGCCUGUGCACGUGGCGAGCUGCCCGCGUUUACCGGCGCGUUCACUUAUCAUAGUUCGCUUUCUCCCGAGCUCGGCGGUGUGGCCGCUCGACCUAAUACCUCCACCUCCCACGCACCUUGCUCAGUCGUGAGAUUCCGAAAAAAAUAUAUAUAUAACUUAAGCGUAGAGGAAGCAUCCGUCAGUCAGCGUCACCACAACCAAGUUCACCUCCACGCAAGAAUGGGUAGCAUGAAGUGGAGGGUGAAAGUUAAAAAGAGAAUAUGCAAGAACUUAACCAACGAAGAGCACGUGAUUAUGCAGAAACUUAAAGAAAGAGCGCCUCCAAAUAUGGAAAUAGAGAAAAACAAGAUGAAGAAAAAAAGAUUCAUAGUGAGAAUCAAACGGAGAAGACGGCAGAGCCAGGAGCAGCCGCCCCCUCCUGCCCGGCCCGCGGGGGUCGACCCGAGCGAGAGGAACGGCCGUGCCCAGCAGGGCCUCUCACUCUUCCUUCGCAUCCUUGCCUCGCUCGUCACCCGGAUGCCUCCUAACGCUGGCGCCUUUCCAAGCCCCCCGGCGUCGCGUGGUCGCUUGUCCCGGAAUAGGGGCUAGUGCAACGCGCCGUCGACAGACUCGCGCAGAACAACAACAACAACAAAAAUAUCAACGCACGUACAAGUACCGUAGCUGUAAGGGUAUGGGAGCAGUGUCAGUGUGGUCAACAAAAUUGACAUCGUGUGCCCAACAAUGUAUUUGCCAGGAAAACAUGCCAGGAAAACAUGGCAAAUGAGCUGGUUCGUUGAAAGUGUUCACCCCUAAGUCAAAUACUCAGUCUCUCCUAUGCGAAUGCAGUGUCCCACUUUAGGAUUAAAAUAAAUUACAUUUAAUUUAUUUUGUAAGCACUGCGGUGCCCGCCAUGACACUGAGAGGUCAAAGGCAUAGAUAUUUCUGGAGUGUUAAUGAUCUAUGAAAUUAGUGGCCAAGGACUACUGAUUAACUCAUAACAGGAAAUACGUACUCAAGACAUACCGUAUAAUUUGGGUCUUUCGGUGAAGUCACGUAGAUAGGCUCAAAGAAAAUAACAAAAAACUACGACGUUUCGAUCGCAACACAAGCGUUCUUCCUGAUGACAAACACUUGUGUUGCGGUCGAAACGUCGUAGUUUUUUUCUUUGAACCAAUCUACGUGACUUUACCGAAAGACCCACAGAAUAUGAAUUCCUGCAGUCACGUAAGCUUUAAGUCAAGAUUUACCUACCGUAGUGUUAUGGUUAAAACAUUGAAUGGACAACGUUUACAAAUUACCAUUUUGUGAGGGUAAAUCAUAAGAAUGCUACGUUGCAUUUCCAUUUGAAAAAAAGUUUAAACAUUUAAUAAACACAUAUAUAGAACCAUAAUAAUAACAACAACAUUUGAAUAAAUAAUUGUACAAAACGCCUAUCUUGCCAUUUUAGUAUCAUAAUGUAUAUGUAAUACCGUUCAUAAAAUGUUCUACACAGACAAUUUCGAACAAUAGCUGGUUUCUCUUGUAAUAUAGUGCCCAGAAAAUAUAACUACGUUCAUGGGUUUGACAUGCACAUAGCUUAGAAAGUAUUGUAUAGUAAAUGAGUAUUUGAUCAAGGCUGGCACUUGAUCCUAGCUAAAAUCUAAAUUAAAUAAUUUUAUUAGAGUAGUGUUCGUGAACGAUUACAUCUGAUGAUGUGGAAGAGGGGCUUGUGAUAACGGUGCAAAUGCCUCUUGAAGACAAUGGGCAGUUAGCACACACUGUUUCACACCUCUUGAAAAUACAUCUCAUCAAGUAAGAUGUGAGGCAUGCAGUAACCCUGGGGGUGCCUUGUCUUUUCAAAUUACUUUUAAGCUUAAUAUGUGAGUAAUGUGAAAUAAACUAUAUGUGCUUGGUGCUCGUUGUAUAAAAACCCCUUUGUAUAGGAAUGUAAUGUGGUUGACUUGAACUGCAUUCUGAGGUGGGAUGUCAGCGGAAAUGGCCCUGCUUGCAUGAAUUCAUCUGAACGCGAUGCAGCCUCUCGCAUUCACACAUCAACAACGCGGUGGUUUACUUUUAUCUCGAGAUCUUGGUCGCUAAAUCAGGUUUCGCACAUCCGUCAACCAGCGGACGUCUGAAAUUUUUAAAUCGACGCAUAAAUGCACUGUUUUAGCUCGUAAAUAUAAGAGGUGGUCGAAGUUAACUAAUUGAAAAACUAAUUUCUUAAGAACUGCUUUUUGUCAUUGUCCUUCCCCCGCAUCUCCGAUUAGCGUUGGUUGGCUACGUACGGUGCGAAAUAAGUUUUAACAUGCAUAAUUACAAAGUAAAUGGUUCUACAGUAUUGAGUGUAAUGCCUCCUCUAAUGCCACAACUUGGCAACACGAUUUAAAUGUAUAUAAUAGCGUAACACACCACAAGAGUGGAGGAACCUCUUUGGCACGUACAUUGCAUUACAAUGCAGUCAAUUCUUUGUCUCGAGCAACUUCGUGUCCAUCUCAAACCCUACCUGCUCGGGUGAAGCAGUGCGCCCGACAUGACCACCCAUAGCACGUUUUUAAAACGUAACAAAUUGCGCAAUUUUCGUCAAGGUUGAUUGUAAAGCGCAGUCUCUCGUUACAUGUUAGUGUCAGCGGGCCGACCACUGCAAAAAUAUAUCUAUAUAUAUAUACCAGAACACACACGAUGUGCUCUGUUCACUACCAGAACCAUUUACCAACCAUGAAAAUAUUAGCUUUAAGAACAGGUGCAUAAUAACCGAUAUAAUGACUGACGGAGGAUCUGUGUAUCCAUCACACGUUCGAAACACCGCCCCAAACGUCCAGUUUGUAAGUGCCGCUCAUGCAAGACACCAGAGGCUGUACACUAUACGGGGGCCGCACCGUGCAUCAAAUAAAAUUGUUAUUUGCAGUGGCUACUGUAGGCAUAGAGAGAAUGCCGCGGGCUUUUAUAUGGGUACGCUUAGACUGUGGUUACAUUGAGUCCCCUAAACAUAUGUAAAUCCGUUUUUGGAGUGAUUAUGGACUCAUCUUAAAUGUGGUGUACGUUUUCACGUAGUGCAUGACUUUUGUUCUGAAAAAUAUAUUUGAAGUAAUCAUAUCAGUUCAACAUUGUCAUUGUAUGUUACUCAUUAAUGUGCAUUGCAAUCGUUAUUCCCAUUAGACAUGUUCAAAGGCACGGUUCAACUUUAAAAUUACGGUACUCUACUGUGGAGGUGUUUAGCGUUUGUGCUGUCUAGCUCCCCGAAGUACCACGUGCUGUUCGACAUGCUGUCCGACGUUUCGCACCACAUUCUGGGGCCUUCAAGAACUGACGCUCAUACCUGUCAACCCCUUAUCAGAGCCGAUCUUAUUAUAGACCAAUUCAGACCGUAUUGGUCACCCCGUGCCCUUAUAAAUCUCAACGUUCAUCCGACAAGCUCCCAUCACAAGGGAGAAACACAAACAAGUAUAUUUUUUUGCCCGUAUUGAAACGGCUGUAUGCCGUAUGGACCUGAAAACUACAUUUCCCUGUACACGAACGCGGGUAAACCGCAUGGGUUGAUAGGUGUGCAAGCUCCCAGCAUGUGGCGCUGAAAGCGGCAGUGUUGUUCGGUAUAACGUAUCGGAUGUCCACCUGAAACUACUUUGGAGAACGACGCUCACGUGUCUUCUGACAAUUGCUACGGCUCCCACAUCGGAUAUUUUUUAAAUGCAAAACAAACCCAGUGCUCAGUCUUUGCCUUCAUUUGUUUUGACAAAAGUUUAAUCUGUACAUUUCUACCGGGCCUUCGUAUGUUGGGGUUAUCAACCACGCGAUUAGAACUGCAUGUAAUCUGCCAUGUGUGUGUUUGACGGACAUGCAAACAUCAUGAAGCAGGCUUCCUGAUCAGUUUUUUUUAAUAUUUAAUUUUAUUACAACAAGUCAUGAA
This is a long non-coding RNA of Lethenteron reissneri (Far Eastern brook lamprey), 3904 nucleotides long. RefSeq lists it as uncharacterized. The record is from RefSeq and is a predicted model, not a curated record. Lineage: Eukaryota; Metazoa; Chordata; Hyperoartia; Petromyzontiformes; Petromyzontidae.